CAAAGCUCCCCUUUCCUUAAUUGGUUUCGCUGCCAAAAAGCCUUCCUUCUUCCAGGGCCCUCUUAAUGCUGCUGGCAGAAUUCUCUUUCAAAACAACACAAACACAAACUCACACCUUGGCUCAAAACCUACAUGGACGACAGAAAUAAAUUGAAGCAUCCAAGCCUGUCAUCUGAGAUCUUCUAUAAAUCUUGUCCCCAGCUUUCCUUUGUCCAGAAAGACUUUCUUUCCACCUCCACUCUGUCUGUUCAUUUAUUCAUCCCUUUGUUAACUCAGCAAACAUUUAUUCAGCUCCUUAAUUUAUUCAGACGCCACAUUAAGCACAGGAGUGUAGGAAGAUACACUAUAGAAAAGCAGAUUGGCCUUCCAGGUGCUCAGCCUACUGCAUAGGGCAGCCAUGGAAAUGGGAUAAGACUUCCUACAUGGAAGAUGUAGCUGCUAAAUGAAGACAUCCAGCUGAAAACAAAAAACAACUCCUGUUGCCGACCAACUAUAUUGGGCCGGUGCUAGGCACUUUCCACGCCUCAUCACCGAUCCUCAGAGGAGCCCAUUUCACAGAUGGGGACACCAAGGUACACCCAGGUUUCCCAGCUUCGAGCUGUGUAUGCCCAGGUGUCAUGGUGAAAAGCCCAUCAGCCAUAAGCACGUAAGGCAUGGGGAUGCCAGGUGCGCAAACACCGGAUGGAUGUGGGUGCCCGGACAUCCUCGGACAUUCUGCCAAGCAAGCGAACCAAGAACAUCUCUGGCCUUCAAGUCUUUCCGUAUGGGCCCUGAGUAGCAGUUCAAACUGUCUUGACUUAUAAAUUCUUUAAAUAACAAGUGGCAAGAUCCUGUAUG
Molecule: non-coding RNA, 837 nt
Organism: Callorhinus ursinus (northern fur seal)
Lineage: Eukaryota; Metazoa; Chordata; Mammalia; Carnivora; Otariidae
Source: RefSeq, a predicted model, not a curated record